Molecule: RNA transcript, 4801 nt
Organism: Procambarus clarkii (red swamp crayfish)
Lineage: Eukaryota; Metazoa; Arthropoda; Malacostraca; Decapoda; Cambaridae
Gene: Naa35
Gene name: N-alpha-acetyltransferase 35
Source: RefSeq, a predicted model, not a curated record
ACGGCGUGGAAGCCGCGUGCGAGGAAGCGUAGGCGGGGCAGCAGGCAGAGAAGCUGUGGUCUGGUCAGAUGUAAACACGGAAGAUGGCAGCUGGUAGCACAGACACCUCACUCGACAGGAAUGAUUUUACGCCCAGCAUCAGCACCAUGCCACCUAGACCAGAAGUGACAUAUAACUGGGUGAAUAUUACUUCAGAUUUCUUCCAUGCUACGAAAGACCUUCAGUUGGGUGAGCUGUUGCAUGAUGACAUUUUUGGGCUCUUUGAAGCUAUGUCUGCAAUAGAAAUGAUGGACCCCAAAAUGGAUGCUGGUAUGAUGUGUAACAGGGGCAAAAAAGUGCUAAAUUUUGACCAGGCUGUUAAGGCUGGAGCUUUAAAACUUAAUAACCUAACAAUGGAGGAAUUAGUUGGCAUAAUGGACUCCAUGCUGGCAUGCUUGGUAACCUGGCUAGAGGGUCACUCUGCUGCACAGACAAUAUUAACCUGCCUGUAUCUCCACAAGCCACUUAGUAUUGAAGACCGUGCACUAAGAGCAUUUUCCAUACAAACUCUCAAGCUUAUUGCCAUCAUAAAUAAUAUUGUUCAUAGUGCUGGUGUAUUUGAAGAAGAAGAUUUCCAACCAGCUUUAUAUGGGUAUGGUGUUUGUUCUGAAGUUUCCGAAGUGAGGGCAGGAGGCAUGAUGAGGGAAGUUGAAGAGGAACUACAAAGAGCAGUGAAAGCUUCAAGGAACCGCCAAGGUGAACCAUGGGACCCGAAAAUGCAAAAACAGCAUGAGGACGCAGUGGCUCUUUUCUCCAGGAUUCGCUUCAUGCGGCUGUUUUAUGCUGCCCUAGCAGCUAUCAUGAGAAGAGAACAGGUGUCUAUCCCAGAGGCAGAGAGGUGUUUAGCAUCUUGUAACGAAUUGGUGUGUAUUAUGCAGAACACCAUCGGUCGGGGUUUGAGACCCAAGCAACCUAAGGAUGAAGAAGGAAAUAAAGUGGACUAUCCAGUGAUAAUGGGGUUUGAACCUCUAGUCAAUCAGCGUCUCUUGCCUCCAACAUUCCCACGCUAUACCAGACUGCGAACACGUAAGGAAGCAAUGAAUUACCUUGAAGAAAUGGUUGGACGUCUUCGUCACAUCACAAAAAUUACACACUGUGCAAGCUUUCAUUCUGCUCUGGAAUUCAUAGAGUAUUUUUCCGAAAGUCGACCAUGUGUGUUGUCAAGAUCGCUAGCCCAAGUGUUGUACCUUGGAGGUGACAAACUGUGGGGAGGUCAAGCAAUGGCAGAAGCAUUAAGGGAAGCUGCUCGCAGCUUCAUCUGUCCUCCUGCACUAUUGCCAAAAGCUCCAGUUAUGAAUAAUGUUCAGGCCAAAGAUUAUGUUGACUCUUUCUUCAACCGGUGUGUUAGACCGUUUGAACAGCUUAUUCAAACCUGCGGACACAACAGAGCACGUCAGCGAGAUAAAGUGGCUCAUCUUUUGGAGGAAUUUGCAAUGUUGCAGGAUGAAGCAGAUAAAGUGGAUGCAUACCUGCACAAUGUUUUACUGAAGAGUGACCAACCAAGACCACAUUUAGCAUACCUGGGCACAUGGGUUCUCUACCAUACGUUAAGGUUAAUGAUUAAAUACCUACUGACGGGAUUCACACUGGAGCUGUAUGCUGUACACGAGUACCAUUAUGUCUACUGGUAUCUCUAUGAAUUUGUUUACGUAUGGUUGGUGAGUGCACUUUCAAGGGCAGAUGCCAUGCUCCUGGAGCAAGACGGCUAUGAUACAAACAAGAGCGGCAAAAGUGGAAGAUCAUCAAAAAACAAAAACAGAAAUAAAAAGAAACAUCGGCCAUAUGGUAAAGAAAUCACAUAUAACCAGGCACUUCAACACUUGUGUGGGGGUUACUAUAAAGCAAUGUUAGGCUUGAGAGAGGCAGGAAAGGUGAAGCUACCUCUUCAAGAAUUUGAUAGUGAACAAGUUCGGUAUGAGCAUCGCUUCCUGCCAUUCAGUGUAGUCAUGACACCUCCACCUGUGCACUAUGAUCAGUUUCUAUCCAUGACUGAUUUAUCCAACUUUCCUCAGCCAGUGUCUCCAGCCACACUUUAUCAUGAUGCUAGGAAUCAUUUCUUCAAAGCACGGUCUCUACUUGAAACAAUUCAUGCUCCCAGCAGUGAGACUCGUGGGGUGGGCGACCAAGCCCCUGAGUUAAGACUGUAUUGGAAGAUCGAACUCUGUAGCCUCCGCUACAUUAGGCCCUGACCUUGUUCCUUCUCGGACUCUCCUGACUGAUGUUGACGACUGACAGAUCAGGACUACACACAGCCCUCAGAUGUGGAUAUGGCAGAUGAUGAGAGUAGACAUGCUGGUGCCACGUGGGUAAGGCGUAGUCUGUCAUCCAUACCUCCUCGCCCACACUAGACACCACUUUGCACUCAACCACAUACAGUAGUUCAUGUGGUUGAGUGCAAGAUCUCUGCAAGAUGAUGAUGUUUUAGACAACGAGUCUGAGGAAGAUGAAUCAUUUUCUGGUUUUAGUGAUUUAUAAUCAGAGAAUAGUUUUGCUGUCGCUAGUGCCAGUGGAAUGCGUGGUGUUAACGAGGGACGUUUUAUCGCAUCAGCAGCAUUUGGCCCAGCCAAGCGCCACCUCAUGGCACCACACGGGGACAGACAUGAACAAAACCCCUCAUUGUCAAGUAAUUUUCCCUCAUCAUUACUUCCCAUUCCUACUGUUGCUAGACGGGCUUCAGCUCCUGGUCCAUGGAUUCCUCGCUGUGGUGCUGCUGUUGCCUCUCAGAAGACACCAAGUGUUUUAUGUGGAGUGAUGGGAAGAUUUUGUCCCAGAAAUUCCCACCUUUGACAAUACAGAUGUUGGGAUUACAGACCUUUUCCCUGAUACAGGUAAUGAUAUACGUAUGUUAAAUUGACUACUUUGCCGUAUAUUUUGAUGAGCUGCUAAUGGAACAUAUUGUUCGGGAAACAAACAAAUAUGCGGCUGAUCUCAUUGAUGAAGAGCUAUCGGAUUUUUCAGGAUUACAGUGUUGGAAAGAUAAGACUGUAGGUGAAAAGUAUGUGUUUUUGGCAGUGUGUAUGUUGCUGAAGCAUUGUGUCAAAUAUGUAAUCAACCAUUACUGGAGCAAAGACCAGACUGUUCCAACACCAUUGUUCGGGAAAUAUAUGUCUCGAGACAGAUUUGUGAUACACCUCAGGUGUCUUCAAUUUGCAAGUAAUGAAGACGAGACAGAGGAUGAUAGGCUUUGGAGGGCAAGGCACGUCCUGAAUGAAUUUGUUGGAAAGUUCAGAGAUUUCUACGUACGGGCUCAGAAGCUGGUGAUUGAUGAACCCCUUGUGCUUUUCAAAGGACGUGCCAUUUGUCAGAGUACAAAUUCUUUGUACUCUGUGACUGUAAACCAGGAAUUGUUACACAUGAUGAUGUAUUUGGGUACAAAUGUAGACAUUCGUGCUAAUGACAAACAUGGUUUCUCAGGUAGUGUGGUGAGGUCACUGCUUGUGCCAUGACUGAACAAGGGCCACAUAUUAUUCACAGAUAACUAUUAUAUGUCCCCUUGCUACCUAGGUUCUUUCUUGAUAAUAGAACUGGAGUGUGUCGCACAGUGAAGGCAAAACGAAGGGAAAUGCCUGUGUUUGACACUAUGUAGGUUGGUGAUUGCGCGCUAAGAAAAGCUGGUGGAAUGCUUUCAGUGCGCGGGAAAGACAGGCGUGAAGUGAACAUGUUGACAAGCUGUUCACAAUGGUACAAUGCUGAACAGUGGCAAGGUGAACAAUUGCACGAAACAACCAUUAUAUAAACCAGAUUUAGUUUUGGACUAUAACAUCAACAUGCAUUUGGUGGAUAAAUGUGAUAUGAUGGUGGGGGGCAGUCGAGUGUGUACGGAAAACAGUGAAGUGGAUCAAGAAGAUUUUUUCCACCUUGUUGACGUAAUAAUGCUGAACAGUUACAUUACUAUAUGUAUCUUGUGAAAACAGGAUACAUAAACCAAAUUUCUGUUCGUUUAGUUUUACUGUAGUGACACAACUACUGGAAAAGUUUGGCAAACCAAUUACUGGCAUACCAAGGCCCAUUGUGAGCCCAGUAUUGCACCAUGCUUCCACACCCAUGCUCACUUUCAAGAAGGCCUUUCUUGCACACAAAAUAUGGUAUUUACCACCAACUGGAAAGCAUGCAGUAGGCCAGUGUGAGUGCAUUGUGUGUAAGACCACACAAAAGAACCCACCAAAACAAAAAUUGGUCCUAACAUGGUGCUCAGCGAGUAAGGUCCCUUUGUGCUAUGUCAAGUGUUUCGACGAGUAUCACAGUCUCCAGGACUUCUAAAUGUCCAAUAAUGGUGCAAAAACAUGUACAUGUUGAGUGAAUGUAUAUAUUGAAACCAUGUUCAUAAUACUGUACAUUUUAUAUUUCCUGAAAAGUAAAACAUUUUUGUGCACAUACAUGUGACACUAAUAUGUGAGUGUAUUGAAUAAGUUGUAUUAUAAUGCAACAUCACUUGACUAUAUAUUUUACGAUACUAGUGAAAAAAUUAUUGUAAAAUAGUCCAUAGAUACUGUAAAUAAUGCCGUAAAAAUAAAUUCGCUGCAACUCGGGCUGCUUGAACACCGUGCAUGCGACACUCCCGGGACGCACCAUGCUUGAGCGACAAAGAUCUGUGACGUCAUUGGCCAAGUUCUCGGCUCAUUUACGUCAUUGGUGCAACAGCUUCUGAAAGUAGUCAAAACAAACUUUGUUGUCAUGAAGCUUUUGGAGGGUGGCCAUAAGGCUGAUGACCCAACUCGACCCCAAUUUGACUUCACAACCCACCCGUGCUUUCCAAUUAUCA